AACGCUGGCGGCGUGCUUAACACAUGCAAGUCGAACGGUGAAGGAGAGCUUGCUCUCCGGAUCAGUGGCGAACGGGUGAGUAACACGUGAGCAAUCUGCCCCUGACUCUGGGAUAAGCGCUGGAAACGGCGUCUAAUACCGGAUACGAGCUGCGAAGGCAUCUUCAGCAGCUGGAAAGAACUUCGGUCAGGGAUGAGCUCGCAGCCUAUCAGCUUGUUGGUGAGGUAAUGGCUCACCAAGGCGUCGACGGGUAGCCGGCCUGAGAGGGUGACCGGCCACAUUGGGACUGAGAUACGGCCCAGACUCCUACGGGAGGCAGCAGUGGGGAAUAUUGCACAAUGGGCGGAAGCCCGAUGCAGCAACGCCGCGUGCGGGAUGACGGCCUUCGGGUUGUAAACCGCUUUCGCCUGUGACGAACGUGAGUGACGGUAAUGGGUAAAGAAGCACCGGCUAACUACGUGCCAGCAGCCGCGGUGAUACGUAGGGUGCGAGCGUUGUCCGGAUUUAUUGGGCGUAAAGGGCUCGUAGGUGGUUGAUCGCGUCGAGUGUAAUCU
Molecule: ribosomal RNA, 554 nt
Filed under: uncultured bacterium
Lineage: Bacteria
Description: bacterial SSU rRNA
Rfam family: Bacterial small subunit ribosomal RNA
Source: RNAcentral